AAGCAAGCUUCGUUCAGAUCAUCACAGAACUGCUGUGUGAAGAUCUGAAUUGUGUACAGCUGAGAGUGAUGAGAGGCAGGAAGGGCUGCUUGCAUAGGGAGGUCAUGGAGGGACUUCCUGACAUUUGAGCUGAGACUUGAGAAGGAGCCAGCCACACAAUAAUAUAGAGUGAGAGCAUUCCUGGCAGAGGAAACAGCUCAGGCAAAGGCUCUAAGGGGGAACAAGGCUAGUGUGUCCCAGGCUUAGGGUGCCGGCCAGAUGAGUACAGAGUAGACAAUGUGGGGAGCUUGGUGGGAGGCAGACGCAGAAAGGCAGAGGCAGGCAGUGGUCAGAUCAGGGAAGGGUUAAUACGCAAAUGUGUGGAUUUUGUCCUAAGUGGAAACUCUGAAAAAUUUCAAGCAAGGGAGUCACACAAUGGCACCUUGGAAUGGGGUGGUGGAUGUGGCCAUUGGAGAAGGUGGACAAGCUCAGAAUGCAUUCUGGCCGUAGAGCCAACCCAACAGGCUGAAGGAUUGGAUGUGGGAGGGAGUGAAAAGAAAGGAAUAAAAAUUGCAGGUGACUUCUACGGUUUUCACUUGAGCAAUUGGGAGGGCAGUAAAGGUGGGUCCCUUUACGGAAAUGGAAAGACUAAGAGAGCAGCAGUUUUGGGGUGGAAUUGGGGAGAGGAAACAGGGACUCUGUUGGGCGUACAGAUGCUCAAAUAAAGAUGACAAGCCCCCUAUUGGCUGUAUGAGUCAGGCGCUGGGGGAGGGACUGGAGCUGUAGGUGCACAAUGCAUGCCGAUGUAUCUGUGUGUCAUACAAGGCCCCAUGUAUGACUGCGUGUGUAUACACAUGCACAGAUGCACACAUUGUUAUGUCAUCCCAGACCAUGUUUUUGUAUUUUUGUACCUGUAUCUUGGUAUAUAUCUG
This 911-nucleotide long non-coding RNA is filed under the name Homo sapiens (human). Its description in RNAcentral is "non-protein coding lnc-CD300A-2:1". Lineage: Eukaryota; Metazoa; Chordata; Mammalia; Primates; Hominidae. The record is from RNAcentral.